GCUGGCGGGGUGCCUAAUUCAUCCAAGUGGUUCGAACUUCCGUUAAUUGAUUUUGACGUACUUGUACUGAUUGAGAAUUUAACAGGAACUAGGUGCCGAACGGGUGAGUAACACGUGGUUAACCUGCCAUGAAGUAGGGAAUAAGACCUGGAAACCGAUGCUAAUACGGUAUUACAGAAAAAACCGGAUGGUUUUCUUUAAAAAGAUGGCUGUGCUAUCACUUCUGGAUGGACCCGCGGCGUAUUAGGUUGUUGGUGAGGUAAAGGCCAACCAAGGCAGUGAUACGUAGCCGACCUGAGAGGGUAAUCGGCCACAUUGGGACUGAGACUGGGCCCAGACUCCUACCGGAGGCAGCAGUAGGGAAUCUUCCAG
RNAcentral lists this ribosomal RNA (372 nucleotides) under Pediococcus pentosaceus. RNAcentral describes it as "bacterial SSU rRNA". It matches the Rfam family "Bacterial small subunit ribosomal RNA", at positions 35 to 369 of the family's 1533-position model. Lineage: Bacteria; Bacillati; Bacillota; Bacilli; Lactobacillales; Lactobacillaceae. The record is from RNAcentral.